RNAcentral lists this ribosomal RNA (385 nucleotides) under uncultured bacterium. RNAcentral's name for it is "bacterial SSU rRNA". It matches the Rfam family "Bacterial small subunit ribosomal RNA", at positions 29 to 416 of the family's 1533-position model. The record is from RNAcentral.
AUUGAACGCUGGCGGCAUGCCUUACACAUGCAAGUCGAACGGCAGCACGGGGGCAACCCUGGUGGCGAGUGGCGAACGGGUGAGUAAUGCAUCGGAACGUGCCCAGUAGUGGGGGAUAACUAGUCGAAAGAUUAGCUAAUACCGCAUACGACCUAUGGGUGAAAGCGGGGGAUUCGCAAGAACCUCGCGCUAUCGGAGCGGCCGAUGUCUGAUUAGCUAGUGGCGGGGUAAAGCCCACCAAGGCUUCGAUCAGUAGCUGGUCUGAGAGGACGACCAGCCACACUGGGACUGAGACACGGCCCAGACUCCUACGGGAGGCAGCAGUGGGAAUUUUGGACAGUGGGCGCAAGCCUGAUCCAGCCAUGCCGCGUGCGGGAAGAAGGCC